Molecule: long non-coding RNA, 803 nt
Filed under: Musa acuminata (dwarf banana)
Lineage: Eukaryota; Viridiplantae; Streptophyta; Magnoliopsida; Zingiberales; Musaceae
Description: long non-coding RNA (MACU_LNC003889)
Source: RNAcentral
CAAGCAAAUGUUAUUUAGCAACAGAUCUCAUGCUACUGUUCUGUAAACUGAUGUGGGAGUUGCUAUGUCACAAUCACAUCCCACAUUGUGGAUGAUAGAUGCCAAAAUGCUACAAUAGACUAAUGAGGUGAAGCAGAAUUAUGUGUCUUGGAAAAGAUUUUACAAAGAUCUUCUGGUGACAGAGGGCAUGAUAACUUGAACUUGGACAGGGAUGAAGAGUGAUUAGUUGACCUAAUUGAUACCUCACACAAGAAAUUUUUAGGCAAAGUUAAUUGCAGAGUCAAGGGAAGGGACCAAAAGGUGAUGUAUAUGGUUGUCACUCUCCUCCAUCUUCCAAACGUGCAAGCUAAAAGCAAAUCUGAUGCGACUGCCGAGGUCAACCUCAACGAGAUCACAUCUGGAUCAAUUAUAUGAGUUGUUUCGUCAUGAUUUGGUACUGAUCAUGCAAUCAUGCAGCUCUUACCCCCAUGCAAAAAUUAUGGUAUGUGCUACUCAUCACUCUACAGAUUUGAUCUCUAGUAAGAUUGAGUACUUCUUGAAAUCAACAUGUACAGUGGUCACUAUGGUCUUCUGCUGCUCAAUUCUUUGUUCUAGUAGUUCCAUGACAGCACAUCGAGUCGCUCUGCAUCAGGCAGGAGCUCCUGGUAAUUGAAGUUGCUUCUGAUGGAUGUGUAGAUAUCAGGCGCCAUGUUGGUGAUCAAACCUGUUUCCUCUGAAAUGCUGAGAGCCUCCUCCUCCAUCUUCAAGUUCUUGUCAUUGCCACGGCCGUAGCUCUCGGACAACUGCACCGAACUGUCUCCUCG